This is a long non-coding RNA of Oncorhynchus tshawytscha (Chinook salmon), 1274 nucleotides long. The record is from Ensembl. NCBI's taxonomy places the organism in Eukaryota, Metazoa, Chordata, Actinopteri, Salmoniformes, Salmonidae.
CCGCAACAAGUCACUUAGAUGGAAACAACAUCUCUGGUGGGAAAAUGUUUUUAUGCAGAUUUUAGAAUAUUCGCAUGAAAAUCUGUCGCCAAUUGGAUGGAAACCUAGCUAGUGUUAACCAUUCACUUUCCAACACAACUGAAGAGAUUAAAUCAGAAUAUCAUUUAAAUUAUAGAAAAUAUUAAAUAGAAAUAAAUGUUUAUUUAAAAUAUAAUAAAUCAUUUUAUGAAUCUGUAGGCCUUCUCCGAAGGCCCUUACUGUUCGACACUGUUAAAGGAGCUGUAAAAGGGCUAUUAAUGAGAAAUUUGGCCAAAAAAAUAAUCUCAUUCUGUCCUGACCCAGGUUUAUUCAACAAAAUCAAUGUCGCAAAAAAAGCAUUGUGACAUGUGUAUGUAAAUGGCAGCUAUAGAGAAAUGUUCUAAAGAUCAACAAAAUGUUUAUCUGUUCGAUUGGGGAUUUUUCUUUGUCAAACUUUAUUUAUUACAACAAAUGAUGAUAGAAGCUGUGCUUUUCGAAUAAAUUAUGAUUGUAGAAUAAUUUUGAAGGUACACUGGGCGUGUGAUGUCAUCGCGUAAACAAACUACAGUAUAAAGCGCCCCCAAAGAUUCUUUAGAAAUUCUGUGGCUCAACUCCACAUAUAAUUCUAAAUGCCCACUGCUUGUUAAAUACAUUUCUUUCAACUAUAAAAAUGAUGUUUAUUUGCAGGACAAGGAUUGUCUUGACUUUCAGGAAUGCCUGAAUUGUUUUACUGGUUGGCUGGAUGUUUCAUCAUCCAAUUAUUUCAGAUCUACAGGAGUGCAAUGUUCACCACAUGCACAGGCUGUGGCAAAACAUUGGAACAUGAAAACGUUACAUCUGCUCCUGCCAUGCCCUCUACUUCUCAUCCUGAACCUCCCUAAACCUGCCACCACUCCCCCAGUGCUCUCUCCCUCUGUGUGUAUGUGAUUGUGUGUGUGGAGACAGGUGUGCUGGAAGCAGAGCGGAUUCCCACCAGCUGCAACCUGUUCCAUAAUCAAGAACCCUACAAAUACUCAGCCCUGCCGUUGCCAGAUCGUAUCCUCUACUCAUCCCGUCUGUUCUGACACUGGUACCCGUCUCCAGUCCCUCAUCUCCUCAGUCCUGCUUCCCUGCCCUGGAUCCCUGCUCUACUGCUUCAUUGGAUUCCGCUCCAGACCUGCUUACCCAGUUCCUAAUCUCCUUGCCCCCAGCCUCAGUCUGGAUUCCCUACUACCCAGCUGAGGUUCCCCUGGACUGCACCCCAUCUCCUUUCCCAC